CGACAAACGUGGACGUUUGGGGGGAGAAUUGUCGAUAAAAAAAACGAAUGAUGUCAGGCCGGACAAGCCUAUCCAAAACUAACCAGGGAAUACCUUUCGGAAUGAUGGCGCGGUGAUCCAUUGAGCGAUGCCCACACGCUCCAAGGCGGAGGAGAUCUUCCAGCUGCUUGGUCACACUCGGCUCCAAACGGAGAAGGAAGAGGAUCAAUCGGAAAGGAGAGAGCGAGAGCUGAAGAAAGCAAUUACUACCAGCGCCAUGCUGCUCAAUGGGAGCCUUCCAAAUGUGGGGAACGCAAAAAUAAACAAAUGAAGGAAAAGUGAAAAGUGACAUCAGCUCAGCAGAAAAAGGUGAGAAACACUCUCAUACUCACAUUUAAGGAAGUCAAAGGUAACAACAACAGUCGCAAAAAAAAAAAAAUGGCAGUAGUCCACCCCCGAGUCUCCCCCAUAAUCCUGUCAUCCACUCUAAUCUCUAUGACGACGACACGGUAGCUCCAUAUGAAUGAUGAAUGAUGAUGAAUAUUCAUCAGGUGUAUCUGAGCGCCUCAUUCAAAAUCCUUCCUACUCACGGCUCGGCUUGCUAGAAAAUUGGGAUAAGAAAAGCGCAGCAAUGAAGUGCAAAAAAAAACACCCACAAAAAUACAUAAAAAAAUAUAUAUGAAAAAGAUUCACCAAUAUCGCAAAAUACCUGUGUUGGAGUUGCUACUGUAUGUAUGUAUAUAAUUCAAAGGGGCCGUAUAGAAGCUUAAUCGGACGCUUUAAUGCUAAAAUAACUUGGCGGACAUUUUGGAGUCGGAGCAUACACAGGCAGUAAAGUAAGCGUUUAAUUGCAUUGGUUUAUUUCUGCAUAAGCCUCGUUAGGCGGCUAAAUAUUCAUGCACGCUUUUUGCCCUUAGAAGAAGAAGCAAGGUGUGCUUCAUCAUCAACGGGUGCUGACUUCAGAUCUGUUGGAGCAAACUUACAGAAACUGUAAUUUCAUACCUACAGGGUUCCAAUCAUUCAUUCAUUCAUUUGGGUUGCUGGAGCCUAUCCCAGGUGUCUUCGGUACAGCCUGGACUGGUGGCCAGCCAAUCACAGGGCACAUAUAGACAAACAACCAUUCACACUCACAUUCAUACCUAUGGACAAUUUGGAGUCGCCAAUUAUUGUUGUUGUUAUUAUUAUUAUUAUUAAAAUUCAGGAUUGAAAUGAAAGCAGGGAGAUACAGGAAGCCCAAACUUUUAAUCUAAUUAAUUCUUAUACUUUUCAUAACUGCAUUAAAGAUUUUUUUAAAUCAUGCAAUUAAUAUUUUACAAUAAA
Long non-coding RNA from Doryrhamphus excisus (bluestripe pipefish), 1299 nucleotides. RefSeq lists it as uncharacterized. NCBI's taxonomy places the organism in Eukaryota, Metazoa, Chordata, Actinopteri, Syngnathiformes, Syngnathidae. The record is from RefSeq and is a predicted model, not a curated record.